Molecule: ribosomal RNA, 468 nt
Filed under: uncultured bacterium
Lineage: Bacteria
Description: partial 16S ribosomal RNA
Rfam family: Bacterial small subunit ribosomal RNA
Source: RNAcentral
GAUGAACGCUGGCGGCGUGCUUAACACAUGCAAGUCGAACGGUGAAGGCGGAGCUUGCCCUGCUGGAUCAGUGGCGCACGGGUGAGUAACACGUGAGCAAUCUGCCCCUGACUCUGGGAUAAGCGCUGGAAACGGCGUCUAAUACAGGAUACGAGCUGCGAAGGCAUCUUCAGCAGCUGGAAAGAACUUCGGUCAGGGAUGAGCUCGCGGCCUAUCAGCUUGUUGGUGAGGUAACGGCUCACCCAGGCGUCGACGGGUACCCGACCUGAGAGGGUGACCGGCCACACGGGGACUGAGACACGGACCAGACUCCUACGGGAGGCAGCAGUGGGGAAUAUUGCACAAUGGGCGAAAGCCUGAUGCGGCAGCGCCGCGAGAGGGAAGACGGCCUUCGGGUUGUAAACCUCUUUUAGCGGGGAAGAAGCGAAAGUGACGGUACCUGCAGAAAAAGCGCCGGCUAACUACGUG